AAAUGAACGCUGGCGGCGUGCUUAACACAUGCAAGUCGCACGAGAACGCUUCAGCUUGCUGAAGUUAGUAAAGUGGCGCACGGGUGAGUAACGCGUGGGUAAUCUACCCCCGAAUUGGGGAUAACAUCGCGAAAGCGAUGCUAAUACCGGAUAAUAUCUCAAAAACCUCGGUUUUAAAGAUCAAAGGUGGCCUCUACAUGUAAGCUUCUGUUUGGGGAUGAGCCCGCGUACCAUUAGCUUGUUGGUAGGGUAAUGGCCUACCAAGGCUGCGAUGGUUAGCUGGUCUGAGAGGAUGAUCAGCCACACUGGAACUGACACACGGUCCAGACUCCUACGGGAGGCAGCAGUGAGGAAUUUUGCGCAAUGGGGGAAACCCUGACGCAGCAACGCCGCGUGAGUGAUGAAGGCUUUCGGGUCGUAAAGCUCUGUCAAGUGGGAAGAACCCACAUGGUGAUAAUACCACUAUGUGUUGACGUUACCACUGAAGGAAGCACCGGCUAACUCCGUGCCAGCAGCCGCGGUAAUGCGGGGGGUGCAAGCGUUAUUCGGAAUUACUGGGCGUAAAGAGCGCGUAGGCGGUCUUUUAAGUCAGGUGUGAAAGCCCGGGGCUUAACCCCGGAAGUGCACUUGAAACUAUUAGACUUGAGUAUGGGAGAGGGAAGUGGAAUUCCUGGUGUAGCGGUGAAUGCGUAGAUAUCAGGAGGAACAUCGGUGGCGAAGGCGACUUCCUGGACCAAUACUGACGCUGAGGCGCGAAGGCGUGGGGAGCAAACAGGAUAGAUACCCUGGUAGUCCACGCAGUAAACGGUGAUCACUAGGUGUAGCGGGUAUUGACCCCUGCUGUGCCGCAGCAAACGCAUUAAGUGAUCCGCCUGGGGAGUACGACCGCAAGGUUAAAACUCAAAGGAAUUGACGGGGGCCCGCACAAGCGGUGGAGCAUGUGGUUUAAUUCGACGCAACGCGAAGAACCUUACCUGGAUUUGACAUCCCGGGAAUCUUUUGGAAACAUCAGAGUGCCCUUCGGGGAGCCCGGUGACAGGUGCUGCAUGGCUGUCGUCAGCUCGUGUCGUGAGAUGUUGGGUUAAGUCCCGCAACGAGCGCAACCCCUUUCUUUAGUUACCAUCAUUUAGUUGGGGACUCUAAAGAUACUGCCCCGGUUAACAGGGAGGAAGGUGGGGAUGACGUCAAGUCCUCAUGGCCUUUAUGUCCAGGGCUACACACGUGCUACAAUGGGCUGUACAAAGGGUUGCCAACCCGCGAGGGUGAGCCAAUCCCAGAAAGCAGUUCGUAG
This 1291-nucleotide ribosomal RNA is filed under the name metagenome. RNAcentral describes it as "bacterial SSU rRNA". It matches the Rfam family "Bacterial small subunit ribosomal RNA", at positions 26 to 1291 of the family's 1533-position model. The record is from RNAcentral.